CCAACGGCCCUCUUUAGGGCCACAUAUCUCUCCUUAGAACUGAUCA
Non-coding RNA from Steinernema glaseri, 46 nucleotides. Lineage: Eukaryota; Metazoa; Nematoda; Chromadorea; Rhabditida; Steinernematidae. The record is from Rfam.